GCGCCCCGCGCGCCCUCUCCCUCCUUCCCCGGAACGCGGAAGAACUGCAGAGGACGGUUGAAGCCAUCCACAGGAGCGUGACGGGGGACAUCCUUCCCCGGCUGCACAAGUGCCUGGCGUCCCCGACUAAGCGGGAAGAAGAGCACAAGCUCAUCAAGUCGAAGGUCGUGCAGGACGAGGAAGUGGUCCGUGUGCCCUUGGCGUUCGCCAUGGUUAAGCUGCUGCGGUCCCUGCCGCAGGAGGCGAUGGAGGCCAACCUGCCGAGUAUCCUGCUGAAGGUGUGCGCCCUACUCAAGAACAGAGCGCAGGAGGUCAGGGACGUGGCACGCAGCACCCUCGCCAGGAUCCUGGAGGACUUGGGCGUGCGCUUCCUGCAGUACGUUCUCAGAGAGCUGCAGACCACGCUGGUGCGCGGCUACCAGGUCCACGUGCUGACCUUCACCGUGCACCUGCUGCUGCAGAGCCUGGCCAGCCGCCUGCGGGUCGGGGACCUGGACGCCUGCCUAGACAUCCUGACCCAGAUCUUUAACCAGGAAUUGUUCGGGGCUGUCGCAGAGGAGAAGGAAGUGAAGCAGAUCCUCUCCAAAGUUAUGGAGGCGCGAAGAAGCAAGAGCUAUGAAUCCUACGAGAUCCUGGGCAAGUUUGUAGGCAGAGACCAAGUCACAAAGCUCAUCCUCCCGCUGAAAGAGGUGAGGGCUGAGGGCCUACGAGGUUGCGCGGCCACCAGGGGGCACCCUCGAGUUGGCAGCUGUGCACACAGCCUUGGGGCUCAGCUGCUUUCCCAGGCCCAGCAGGAAGAGCCUGGGUUUAUUGUGUCCCCACAUGCUGCAGCAUCUUCUCUGCGCACCCAUCUGGCCAAAUCAAGGUAUUUCUGGUGCAGGCUCAGGAGAGUCAGGCAAGGUGAUGCACACCUGUAACCCUGGCUGCUCAGGAGGCUGAGGCAAGAGAAUCCCAAGUUGGAUUCUGCCAGCCGGGGGCAGUUUAACAAGACAUUGUCUAAAAAGAAAGGAGGCAGGCAUAGGAGAGCAGGAAGAAACGUGGUGAAAGCAGAAAGUCAACGUCAAUCCCAGAUCUUUCUGGUCUGAAGCUCACAGCCCCCACCCUCACCCCAUUUCCUUUUGUCCCCCUGAAGGAGAAAGAGUCACUCCCCCGCCUUCCCGCGUCGGCCGUGGGCCCGCGGUGGUGUUUCUAGUUCAUUCUCUCCGGGUUCUUACCCAGAACUCCAGCGGAAAGCACUAAACUCCAGUGCUGCUCCUGACGGCAGCCCCAGCGCUGGGCUCACCGUUGCCGGGGGCUGACUUCCCAGUAGUGAGCGCACACGGUGUGGGGCCGCGGCUCGGAGUCCGCGUCCCCCAGCGACGGUCACGCGUGCCCGCAGGU
Molecule: long non-coding RNA, 1380 nt
Filed under: Fukomys damarensis (Damara mole-rat)
Lineage: Eukaryota; Metazoa; Chordata; Mammalia; Rodentia; Bathyergidae
Description: lncRNA (ENSFDAG00000021611.1)
Source: RNAcentral